RNAcentral lists this ribosomal RNA (465 nucleotides) under uncultured bacterium. RNAcentral's name for it is "bacterial SSU rRNA". It matches the Rfam family "Bacterial small subunit ribosomal RNA", at positions 330 to 793 of the family's 1533-position model. The record is from RNAcentral.
ACCAGACUCCUACGGGAGGCAGCAGUGAGGAAUAUUGGUCAAUGGGCGCGAGCCUGAACCAGCCAAGUCGCGUGAGGGAAGACGGUCCUAUGGAUUGUAAACCUCUUUUGUCGGGGAGCAAAAGACGCCACGUGUGGCGUUCCGAGAGUACCCGAAGAAAAAGCAUCGGCUAACUCCGUGCCAGCAGCCGCGGUAAUACGGAGGAUGCGAGCGUUAUCCGGAUUUAUUGGGUUUAAAGGGUGCGUAGGCGGGCUUUUAAGUCAGCGGUAAAAAUUCGGGGCUCAACCCCGUCCGGCCGUUGAAACUGGGGGCCUUGAGUGGGCGAGAAGUAUGCGGAAUGCGCGGUGUAGCGGUGAAAUGCAUAGAUAUCGCGCAGAACUCCGAUUGCGAAGGCAGCAUGCCGGCUCCACACUGACGCUGAGGCACGAAAGCGUGGGUAUCGAACAGGAUUAGAUACCCUUGUAC